Long non-coding RNA from Xenia sp. Carnegie-2017, 715 nucleotides. RefSeq lists it as uncharacterized. Lineage: Eukaryota; Metazoa; Cnidaria; Anthozoa; Malacalcyonacea; Xeniidae. The record is from RefSeq and is a predicted model, not a curated record. The transcript is spliced from 3 exons.
UUGAUUUUCAUGUGAUCAAUUCUUACUUAAAUACGAUCUCACAAUAAACACUUCAUUGCACAAGUCACCACAGCUUCAAAGUAGGUCGAUAUAAGUAGACAGAAUUAUUGCUAAUUUAUUUUGUUGCAUUUUUACUUGUUACAAAAAGAAGUACAAGAAAAGCUAUGAAAAGAGCUUACAUACUGUUGUGUUUACUGGUUUUUAUUGAUUUGGUCAAAAUGGAGCGAUACAAGCAAAUGAAGGAAAGACCGACGAAAUCAUUAUUGGAAAAGACCUACAAAGAGAAUGUAAAUCGUGUAAUUUGUGAAAAAAUUCAUGGAGUGCCACAAUGGUGUCCAUCCGGUACAAAGUGUUGUCCAGUUCAUAGUUUUGAGAUCGAGUUUGAACAUACCGUUGUUGUCCUUGGUUGAAUGGAAUUUGUUGUUUUAACGGGAAUUGUUGUCGUUCUGGUUCUGGGUGUUUUGGGAUUGGCGAAUCGUGUUCUCUCCGAUGGAAUUCAACACAUGUAUGAAUAAAAUAUUGUAUAAUCUUUCCAAAAUUCACAUGAAUAUCAACUGAGCUUCAUACGAUAAAUUCUUACUUAAAUACGAUCUUAUAUAUUAAUGUAAACAAUUGGACAAGUCACCAGGGGCCGGUUGCACGAAUAGCGAAUCACUCUUAUGAAUAAGAUAAAUCUCUUUUUCACUUGAUCAAAUUUUCCACAUCUUCAUCAAAA